This 623-nucleotide ribosomal RNA is filed under the name Salmonella enterica. RNAcentral describes it as "partial 23S ribosomal RNA". It matches the Rfam family "Bacterial large subunit ribosomal RNA", at positions 2320 to 2925 of the family's 2925-position model. RNAcentral also lists the same sequence under 1 other name. The record is from RNAcentral. Lineage: Bacteria; Pseudomonadati; Pseudomonadota; Gammaproteobacteria; Enterobacterales; Enterobacteriaceae.
GCUAAUCCUGGUCGGACAUCAGGAGGUUAGUGCAAUGGCAUAAGCCAGCUUGACUGCGAGCGUGACGGCGCGAGCAGGUGCGAAAGCAGGUCAUAGUGAUCCGGUGGUUCUGAAUGGAAGGGCCAUCGCUCAACGGAUAAAAGGUACUCCGGGGAUAACAGGCUGAUACCGCCCAAGAGUUCAUAUCGACGGCGGUGUUUGGCACCUCGAUGUCGGCUCAUCACAUCCUGGGGCUGAAGUAGGUCCCAAGGGUAUGGCUGUUCGCCAUUUAAAGUGGUACGCGAGCUGGGUUUAGAACGUCGUGAGACAGUUCGGUCCCUAUCUGCCGUGGGCGCUGGAGAACUGAGGGGGGCUGCUCCUAGUACGAGAGGACCGGAGUGGACGCAUCACUGGUGUUCGGGUUGUCAUGCCAAUGGCACUGCCCGGUAGCUAAAUGCGGAAGAGAUAAGUGCUGAAAGCAUCUAAGCACGAAACUUGCCCCGAGAUGAGUUCUCCCUGAGACUUAGAGUCUCCUGAAGGAACGUUGAAGACGACGACGUUGAUAGGCCGGGUGUGUAAGCGCAGCGAUGCGUUGAGCUAACCGGUACUAAUGAACCGUGAGGCUUAACCUUACAACGCCGAAG